Molecule: ribosomal RNA, 266 nt
Filed under: uncultured bacterium
Lineage: Bacteria
Description: partial small subunit ribosomal RNA
Rfam family: Bacterial small subunit ribosomal RNA
Source: RNAcentral
AGGACGAACGCUGGCGGCGUGCCUAACACAUGCAAGUGGAGCGACGAACCAGGCUUCGGCCUGGGGCUAAGCCGCGAACGGGUGAGUAACACGUGGGUAACCUGCCCCGAUGAUUGGGACAACCCGAGGAAACUCGGGCUAAUACCGAAUGUGCCCUCCGGCCAUAAGGCCGCUGGGGAAAGGAAGCUUCGGCCUCCGCAUCGGGAUGGGCCCGCGGCCCAUUAGCUUGUUGGUGAGGUAACGGCUCACCAAGGCUGCGAUGGGUA